RNAcentral lists this ribosomal RNA (320 nucleotides) under uncultured Allapsidae. RNAcentral's name for it is "SSU rRNA". The stretch from base 59 to 320 matches the Rfam family "Eukaryotic small subunit ribosomal RNA", at positions 692 to 955 of the family's 1831-position model. The record is from RNAcentral. Lineage: Eukaryota; Cercozoa; Glissomonadida; Viridiraptoridae.
GAUUUCUGAUUUGGUGCGCCUGGCCCGCCGCAUUAGCGUGUGAGUGCCGGGUCGCGCCUUUCAUCCUUCUAGAAAUCGUGCCUGCCCUUCAUUGGACCAGGUACGCGAUCUAGAUCUUUUACUUUGAAAAAAUUAGAGUGUUUAAAGCAGGCUUUUGCUAUGAAUACAUUAGCAUGGAAUAAUAAUUUAGGACUUCGGUUCUAUUUUGUUGGUUUCUAGGACUGAAGUAAUGAUUGAUAGGGAUAGUUGGGGGUGCUAGUAUUCAGUGGCCAGAGGUGAAAUUCUCGGAUUCACUGAAGACUAACUUAUGCGAAAGCAUU